This is a long non-coding RNA of Amaranthus tricolor (Joseph's coat), 760 nucleotides long. RefSeq lists it as uncharacterized. The transcript has 2 exons. The record is from RefSeq and is a predicted model, not a curated record. Lineage: Eukaryota; Viridiplantae; Streptophyta; Magnoliopsida; Caryophyllales; Amaranthaceae.
AAUAAAAUUCAAUGUGAUAUUGAAGACUUAAUGAGGAUGGUAGUGUUGGCAGUAUUGAUGUUUUAAAAUUGUGGAAAUUUAAUUAUAAUGUCUAUUGUAAAUGAAUUGUCUUUAAACCUCUCUCACACCACUUUUCCUUUUCCCCCUUUUACAUUAUUUGUUCCCAUCUCCCUCAUAUUUUACAUUCUUUCUUAACCUCUCUCUCUCACAAAAAGAAUGAGCCACCACACCAGCCGCCGCCAACCACUGCCGCCACCGCAUGCGGCCAGCAGACGCCAACUAGCCUGCGAGGAUGUCAUAGAUAGCCAUUACAGGUGAUGAAGCUUCUUUACAUUGCAUACGGGGGAAAUGAGUGAGAAUCCUAAAGUGUACAUAUUCUUUUGUCUACAUGUGGUUUCUUUUAAUGAAGUUGUUUAUGUUUUGAGUUUGAGGUACAUGUCCUCCUCUGUAUAAGUUAUUUCCGCUGCGUUGUUUUUAUGGUUUGUAUGAUUUAAAUAGUUUAUCAUUCUCUUUCUUCUUUUGAACUCAAGCGUUUACAUUGGAACCACGAUCCAUGCUUAGCAUGUGGACCCGAAGAUUAGGCGAUGAUUGUUCCGCCGUGAUAUUUUAUUACAAGGCCGAUGAUGCCUCUUCUUUAUUAUGUUUUAUUGAUCAUUAUUUGUUCAGUGCGUCCAACUUUAGGGCAGAUGCUGCCAAAAUUUUUUGCACAUCUUUUAUGGGAGUUUUCUAAUCCCUUUUAAUUAAAUCAUUCAAACUUUAA